Molecule: ribosomal RNA, 460 nt
Filed under: uncultured bacterium
Lineage: Bacteria
Description: partial 16S ribosomal RNA
Rfam family: Bacterial small subunit ribosomal RNA
Source: RNAcentral
CCUACGGGAGGCAGCAGUGAGGAAUAUUGGUCAAUGGGAGGAAUCCUGAACCAGCCAUGCCGCGUGCAGGACGACGGCUCUACGAGUUGUAAACUGCUUUUGUACCGGGGUAAAAUGCUCUACGUGUAGGGUUUUGCACGUACGUUACGAAUAAGGAUCGGCUAACUCCGUGCCAGCAGCCGCGGUAAUACGGAGGGGGCGGGCGUUUUUCGGAGUUACUGGGAGUAAAGAGAACGUAGGCGGGGUUGUAAGUCAUUAGUCAAAGAUUAGAGCUCAACUUUAGUAAGGCUAGUGAUACUAUAAGACUAGAGUAUAGGAGAGGAGGGCAGAAUUCCUGGUGUAGCGGUGAAAUGCGUAGAUAUCAGGAGGAACACCGGUAGCGAAGGCGGCAAACUGGAUGGAAACUGACGCUGAGGUGCGAAAGCGUGGGUAGCAAACAGGAUUAGAUACCCUAGUAGUC